RNAcentral lists this ribosomal RNA (466 nucleotides) under uncultured bacterium. RNAcentral's name for it is "partial 16S ribosomal RNA". It matches the Rfam family "Bacterial small subunit ribosomal RNA", at positions 28 to 507 of the family's 1533-position model. The record is from RNAcentral.
GAUGAACGCUGGCGGCGUGCUUAACACAUGCAAGUCGAACGGAAAGGCCCAAGCUUGCUUGGGUGCUCGAGUGGCGAACGGGUGAGUAACACGUGGGUGAUCUGCCCUGCACUUUGGGAUAAGCCUGGGAAACUGGGUCUAAUACCGGAUAGGACCAUCGUUUAGUGUCGGUGGUGGAAAGUUUUUCGGUGUGGGAUGAGCUCGCGGCCUAUCAGCUUGUUGGUGGGGUAAUGGCCUACCAAGGCGUCGACGGGUAGCCGGCCUGAGAGGGUGUACGGCCACAUUGGGACUGAGAUACGGCCCAGACUCCUACGGGAGGCAGCAGGGGGGAAUAUUGCACAAUGGGAGCAAGCCUGAUGCAGCGACGCCGCGUGGGGGAUGACGGACUUCGGGUUGUAAACUCCUUUCGCCAAGGACGAAGCGUUUUGUGACGGUACUUGGAGAAGAAGCACCGGCUAAAUAAGUG